This 3965-nucleotide long non-coding RNA is filed under the name Pan troglodytes (chimpanzee). RNAcentral's name for it is "long non-coding RNA NONPTRT006989". Lineage: Eukaryota; Metazoa; Chordata; Mammalia; Primates; Hominidae. The record is from RNAcentral.
GCAGCCUCCGUUUUGGGUCCCCGGGAAGCCACAGUCGCCCCCCAGCGCCCCCAGCGGAGCCUCCCCGGGGGAAGGGGCGUGGCGCUGGGGGGGGCAGAGUCACCCCGAGGGCCGUGGGCGGUGCCCGGCUGUCCCGGGAGCGGCCGCCUCCCUUCUCGGCAGAAGCCCUCCCCGCCGGCCGAGCGGGGACGCGGGAGCUGAGGUUGGGCCGCGGGCGGAUGGAGGUCUGGGGGAGGGUCGGCCGGGAGCGCUGGCGCCAGCGGAGCUGGCUGGGAGCCUCCGAGGCUGACAGCUCUUCUGGGGCCGCCCUUGCCCCCGCGGAGUGAUUCAACCCCGGCUCGCUGCCUCUGCCUGGCGGGUCGGUGCACCCCCAGACCGAGGCCUGGGGCGUUCUGCUUCAGCAGACCGAAACCAGAAACGCAGCCCCCGCCACCCAGGCCGAGUGUGCCGAGAAGGAGCCGGCACCCUUUUCAGGGUGUCAGGGGACUGUGUGCCCGGUAGGAGGGGGCGCCUCCUGGAGCCCGAAGGGAGGGCGCAGUAGGGAGCCAAGGGUGGGUGGGAGGCCACCCCUCCACCUCCAGGGGCGGGCGGCUCCUCCAGGCAGGUGACAGCAGCGGGACAGCAGUGCUUUGCCCUCCAGGACCUGUGCACCCUCCUGUCUACCUGGAGACCCUCUUCGCCAUCGUUGCCAGCGUACUCCUGGCCUCAGACUCCCCAGAGGGGACCCCCCCCACACACACCCCUGCAGAGCCUGGCAGAGGGCAGCUGUGGGGGCUGCUGGAGCCGCGGGUGUGAUCUGGAGGGGACACGGGGCCCGGCUGUGUUUCUGGGGCAUAAGUGAGACUUCCUUUUGUUGUAGUCACUGCCCCGUUGAUCCACACACGUCACGAAUCAGUGACAGAGACUCGCUGUGGAAACCGGAGUGCGCUGGCCUGCCUGCUACCCUCCGGUGUUUGUGACUUUUUACCAGCUGUCCUGACGAAGCACAGGGUGGAGCGAGCGCUGGUGUGCUGGGUGGAUUCUCAUCCCCCGAUAGCUGGAAAGUUGCCCCUCAUGACACUGGCCACUGCAUCGACAGCCUCUGUUGCUGGGUGUUUCUUCUAAGCAAUUAAGUAGGAGAUGAUGAAACCUCUCUUCCGUGGGGGGAGGCAGGACCAGCGCCCCGUCUUUAUCAGCCAGUGGCCAUAAAUGUGGACCAUGAACUUUCCCACUUGCUGUCAGCCCGGGCAUCGCAGGUGCGGUCACCCCUGGUUCGUCUCUCCUGCAAGGUGGGGAAAGGAAAGUUAACCUGCCAGUGGGUUAAGCCCUUCCUGACUUUCAUACGGGAGCCGGGCAUUUUGUCCUGGUGACCCAGAGUUGUGGUGUGUGGGCUGGUGCCUCAACAACCCUCCAGUGCACCUGCGCCCCUCUUCAGUGAGUCCCUUUAUCCACUUGGGAUUUGCUCUCCUUUCCGUGAAGGUGCCCCACAAGCAUGUCCACCUGGGUGGUAACCCUUGCUGAGUUUUAAAAGUGUAUCUGUUCAGUCUGUUGAUCCAACAUCAGAUCAGCCUUGUCAGUUUCCUAAAGUUGAACGAACCACGGUUUUGUCUGCACGCUUUAGUUUUAUCACAACAGAACUGAGUGUGUCACCUGCAUCUCACGUGAAAAUCACAAAAUGCCCUCAUCCAUGACCAUUAAAGAUAGGUCACAUUUUUGCAAUGCCAGCAAUUUUGCAUAAACAGACUCUGUUUUCAGGUUUGCUGAGGUGCUGGAUAUUUGGAGGUGAGAGAUUUGAGGCACUCGAUUUUCUGGCAGGAACCAGCACAGGCCACGAGUCUCGGACUUCGUGCGGAGGUCUGCUGGUGUCUUCUGAGUGGGUGGAGCCAGGCGUGCCCACCAGAUGCGGGUAGCGUGUGCUAGGCCAGGACGGCUCCCCAGGCUCAAGUCGGCCUCCUCCUGGGCCGAGGUGGGUUGGCUGCCUGUCCCCAGCUGAGUUGUGGCUGUUCCCCUCACCUGCUCAGAUGAAGGCAGCGCUGUCAGAGGUGACCAGAGCCCGCUCCCUCGACCUUCAGGAUCCCCCGAGAGGGAGGCAACGUGUCAGGACGGUGUAUGUGGAGAGAGGCUUGAGGCUCGGUGCCCGAGCACGGGCAGGAGGACAGUGGCCUCGAUGCCAGAGACCGGAGGGAGGGACGCGACGAUGAGGCUGCAUAAGAAGAGAGCUGACUGUAGCUGAGUGUGUCAGCCACUCACCACCGAGUCCAGUUUCCGCACAGCACGAUCAUCGUGCCCUUGCUCACACACGUGUUAGAUGAGCUUGUGUGAGCUUUAUGGGCUGUAAUUUGUGAGUCUGUUCUGGGUGUGUGAUCCUGGCAGCCGGCUCGGCCUGGCCGCUCGUGACCUGGGGCCUUGUGGGGGUGGGGAGAGGGUGAGGAGGGGUGCACCCUCGACACCACCCUCUGAUGUGGCCUGCAGCCUAUGAAGAGUGAGGUUUGGGGGCCCAGAGUGUGAGUCACCAGCGGUAAAUGCAAACCAUAUGUGAUGCAUUUUCUCUGCUGCAGAAAGGGUUUCUGGUGACUGGCUCAGGCCAGGGCUCUGGAAACAGCAUUGCUUAUUUCACAUAAAAAUCCUAAGAAUGUGGGUGAACCUGUCUGAGAUCUGCGUAAUAAAACACUUAGUUGAAGUCACCGGGUUAGUUCCAGGCCCACUUGCUUAUGACGUGGCUGUUAGCCACGAGCUGGCAUUUACGUUAAAGUGUUGAGAAGAAGCGUGAGGGUUUUGAUGUUUCAGUUUCUUGAAAAUAUAACUGUUUCUACUCAGGACCUGCCUCUCCAAGAGUGUAGCACACUUCAUUUUUUUCUGUUUAGCAUGUAUGAGGGUGAACUUAGCUUGCUACUCACACACUACUCACUCUGUGGAGGAAGUUUGCCUCGCUUUUGUGGUGAGUCUUGCUGUAAUGAUAGCUUAUAUUUACAAAUACCGUCAGCAGUGCAGGGUCUUCAGGCUUGCAGAAAACGGUCAAGUCAUUACUUUGAGAAAUGUACAAACAUCUAUGCUUAAUGAGGUGCUAAAAGACAAAACUCAUCUACAAUCUCCUUCCCCCCAAACUGCCAACACUUCUGAUUAAUUUAAAAUCUGCUCUAAACGACAAAACUCAUCUACAACCUCCUUCCCCCCAAACUGCCAACACUUCUGAUUAAUUUAAAAUCUGCUCUAAAAGACAAAACUCAUCUACAACCUCCUUCCCCACAAACUGCCAACACUCUGGAUUAAUUUAAAAGCUGCUCUCUGGGCAGGUUGCAUCCCAGGGCUCCUCCUUCACACAUGGUGGGGCCCCACCUUCGCUUUACCUCUAGCGUCCCAGCCCUCGUGGUCAUCUGGAACCAGGGUUGGUACACAGGGCCUGCUGGCAUUCCUAUGAUACUCCGUGAUAUUCUGGAGGAAUCCAUCCCUUCCUUGGGGCUCCAUCCCACUGCCCCAGCACCUCCAGCCACCCUGAUUCAGGGACAUCGCAGAGAUUGGUGUUUGACGCUACGGCAGCAGAGGCGCAGACUCUUGAGUGUUGGAGGGUGUCUGGAGGGCCUGGGGGCCAGCACCGCCUGCACUCCCGGGAGCUCGGCCCCGCCCCACCGUGGCUCUGAGUGUCGGAGGGCGUCUGGAGGACCUGGGGGCCAGCACCACCUGCACUCCCGGGAGCUCGGCCCCUCCCCACCGUGGCUCUGAGUGUUGGAGGGCGUCUGGAGGGCCUGGGGGCCAGCACCGCCUGCACUCCCGGGAGCUCGGCCCCUCCCCACCGUGGCUCUGAGUGUUGGAGGGCGUCUGGAGGGCCUGGGGGCCAGCACCACCUGCACUCCCGGGAGCUCUGCCCCUCCCCACCGUGGCUCUGAGUGUGGGAGGGCGUCUGGAGAGCCUGGGGGCCAGCACCGCCUGCACUCCUGGGAGCUCGGCCCUGCCCCACCAUGGCUCUUGGUGCAGGUGCACUGGAAGGA